GGAGACCUCACCGUAAGAGCUCACCAACGUGACCAGAGAUGUGAUAAUGGAUCAUCAUGUUUCCACCAUCAAACCUCGAAGGAUCCAGAACCAAAAUGUCAUUCACCGCCUGGAACGCCGACGGAUCAGCUCGGGCAAGGCAGGCACCCAUUGGCAUCAGGUCCGAGUAUUCCACCAGAAUGUCUUCCCCAACUUCACGGUCGUCAAUGUUGAAAAGCCUCCUUGUUUCUUGCGUAAAUUCUCACCUGAUGGACGCUACUUUAUUGCUUUCUCUUCAGACCAGACGUCUCUCGAGAUCUAUGAGUACCAGGGCUGCCAGGCAGCCGAGGACCUACUGCAGGGCUAUGAGGGGGAGAUCCUGUCCAACGGCAAUGACCAGCGGUCGGUCAGCAUCCGCGGCCGGCUCUUUGAACGCUUCUUCGUCCUGCUGCACAUCACCAACGUGGCCGCCAACGGUGAGCACCUGAACCGGGAGUGCAGCCUCUUCACUGACGACUGUCGCUGUGUCAUCGUGGGCUCAGCUGCCUACCUCCCGGAUGAGCCGCAUCCUCCUUUUUACGAGGUGUAUCGCAACAGUGAGUCCGUGACCCCCAACCCCCGGUCCCCUCUGGAGGACUAUUCCCUCCACAUCAUUGACCUUCACACCGGCCGCCUAUGUGAUACGCGCACCUUCAAGUGUGAUAAAGUGGUCCUGUCGCACAACCAAGGGCUGUACCUGUACAAAAACAUCCUGGCCAUCUUGUCAGUGCAGCAGCAGACCAUCCACGUCUUCCAGGUGACCCCUGAAGGCACUUUCAUUGACGUGAGGACCAUCGGCCGCUUCUGCUACGAGGAUGACCUCCUCACCGUGUCAGCUGUCUUCCCUGAGGUGCAGCGGGACAGUCAGACGGGCAUGGCCAGUCCUUUCCGAGAUCCCUUCAUCAACUCCCUCAAACACCGGCUGCUGGUGUACUUGUGGCGCCGGGCGGAGCAGGACGGGAGUGCGAUGGCCAAGAGGCGCUUCUUCCAGUACUUUGACCAGCUGCGGCAGCUGCGCAUGUGGAAGAUGCAGCUUCUGGACGAAAACCAUCUGUUUAUCAAGUACACUAGUGAGGACGUGGUCACCCUGCGGGUCACGGAUCCAUCACAGGCAUCUUUCUUUGUGGUGUACAAUAUGGUGACAACAGAGGUGAUUGCUGUGUUUGAGAAUACAUCCGAUGAGCUUUUAGAGCUCUUUGAGAACUUCUGUGACCUCUUCCGUAACGCCACCCUGCACAGUGAAGUCCAGUUUCCCUGCUCAGCUUCUAGCAACAAUUUUGCAAGGCAGAUCCAGCGCCGGUUUAAAGACACUAUUGUAAACGCCAAGUACGGAGGGCACACGGAGGCAGUACGCCGGCUGCUGGGGCAGCUCCCCAUCAGUGCCCAGUCUUACAGCGGUAGCCCCUACCUUGAUUUGUCUCUCUUCAGCUACGACGACAAGUGGGUGUCCGUCAUGGAGCGACCCAAGACUUGUGGAGAUCACCCUAUCAGGAGCCCAUCGAGGCCCGGAGACUUAACUUGCUCCAAAUAUCACACGCAGUGCAUGGGAAAGUCAGGGUGUGAGUCCAGUUCUCUCGAAGUCCGAUGCCUGAGCUUCUCUCCUGCACGGCCAGGCCAGACAGCGAAGGAGUGAUGCUCUCCACCGUCACAGCUGCAGAGGUCCAGCUCAGAGCCACCUCUGAGCCUUCCUUCCCCGGUCGCUGCCUGCUCCUCCUCCCAGCCCCAGCCGGCAGGCCUGCUUUCUCCCCUGUGCUUCUGCAGUGCUGGUCCUUUGACGACCGGAAACCCCGGUCCCAUCAGGAAGCACCACUGACCUGUGCCUGGGAAGCUAGACUUCUUCCGUCACAAGAGACAGCGAGCAAGCAGGGGAGGGGCAGAGAGCGAGAGACAGAGAAAAUCCCAAGCCGGCUCAGCACUGUCAGCACAGAGCCCAAUGUGGGGAUUGAACCCUUGACCGUGAGAUGAUGACCCAAACCCAAGUCAAGAGUUGGAUGCCUGACUGAGCCACCCAGGUGCCCCCAAAUGGGACUUAUUCUUACAAUUAAAUAGGGGAUGGGGACUAAGGAGGGCACUUGUCGUGAUGAGCACCGGCUGAUGUAUGGAAGUGCCGAAUCUCCAUAUUGUACACCUGAACUAAUAUUACUGUAUGCCAACUAAAAAAAAAAAGUAACCAGGAAGCCAUGGAAUCUUCCUGUGAUGGGGUUCAGGGCUAUAGAAAAGGAGGUCUGACAUAGUCGAUUUGAGGCAGUGAUGGGAGAAAAAGGAAACCGGACCCUGUUAGACUCCAUCCAAGUCCAGCCCGUUCCUGAACCUGUCCCUCACCCAGGGCCUGCACAGAGCUGGGCAUGUCCUUGGGGGGUCUGGAGGGUGGGUGGGCCUGCACUCUGUGGGUGUUGCAUCCUGGGAGGUCCCGGAGCCCACGUGGUGACCCAGUUUCCUGCCUCUGCCAGAGCGACUGAGCUCUGAUUAUGGGGGUGUGAGGGCUCUAAAUGACCGCAAAGUACUUUUCAAUCAGACAGGAAAUAGGCGAGAAAUGCAUUUCUGUUAGUGCCCCCAUUAUCCCAAUCCCAGCAGGACGAAAACAUGUGCCUGCUCCCAGGGACAGUUGUCUGGAUCCCCUGACUGUCCUUCCUCCCCCAGAAGCAGCUUUGUCUUCAGCUCGCGCCACCGAGGGGCUGGAGAUGGGUCAUCCCAAUGGCUGAGGCUCAUUUUCAGAGGGCCCGGGAAGUAGAGGCCGAGAAGGGAGCCCCUUCUGCCCCCCCCCGUGCAGGGCCCUCUUGGGGUCCAUCUGUUCCUGGGUGCCUGUGAGGAGCUGGGGCCACUGCCGCCCUCCAGGUCCCUUCCGUGAGACAUUACCUGUGACAGCUUGGUGCUUCUCGGCCCUCUUUCAUCCGGAAAUAGCAGUUUUGCCUCCUGGACCUCUGUUGGAUGAGCCCUGCCCGACCGUCUCAACUGCUGUUGUUUUCUACCAGAUUCUCAUCUCAUUUCUAGGGUGACAGUCCGCUCCUUGCCUCUGCCAGCUUCUGGUGACCCCAGGUGGUCCUUGGCUGUGGCCGCAUCCCUGCCAAUCUCUGCCUGUGUGGCCACCCGGCCUCCCCUCUUCUGUCUGUGCAAUCAGACGCUGCCUCCAUUUUAUUUGUUUAAUGUUUAUUUAUUUUUGAGAGAGAGUCAGAGUUGGAGAGAGAGAGGAAUAUUGCUUUUAUUUCAGAACAAUCGUAUGGAAUAUGGGGGCUGUAGUGGUGGUGAGAGACAGAACUCAAUCAGGGGAGGGGCAGAGAGAGAGGGAGACACAGAAUCCGAAACAAGCUCCAGGCUCUGAGCUGUCAGCACAGAGCCCAACGCGGGGCUCGAACUCACGGACCGUGAAAUCGUGACCUGAGCUAAAGUUGGUCUCUUAACUGACUGAGCUGCCCAGGCGCCCCAACGCUGCCUCCAUUUUAUAAGGAUACAUGUGAUCUCAUUAGGGUCCAUCCAGAUAGGGUCAUCUUCCCAUGUUAAGAUCCUUUGGCACAUCUGUAAAGACCCUAUUUGCAUAUAGGGUGACAAGUGCGGGUUCCAGGGUUGAGAUCUGAUACCUCUGGGGACCAUGAUGCAGCCCCCUGCAGCCUCCCUCUCUCACAUUAUGCUCUGAACAGUGUGCAGUUUAUUGCAGGCUGUCAUCUCCGCACUCUGCCCUUGGUUCAUGCCAUCCUCUGCUCGACACGUCCCCCUCACCCUCACCCUCAACAUUUGCCUUCUCUUACUCUUCUUUUUUUUUAACGUUUUUAUUUUUGAGACAGGGAGAGACAGAGCAUGAACAGGGGAGGGUCAGAGAGAGGGAGACACAGAAUCUGAAACGGGCUCCAGGCUCUGAGCGGUCAGCACAGAGCCCGACGCGGGGCUCAAACUUACGGACCGUGAGAUCAUGACCUGAGCCGAAGUCAGACGCUUAACUGAGCCACCCAGGUGCCCCAUGCCUUCUCUUACUCUUAUCUUCAGCUCAGAUGUCACCUCCUCUAGGAAGUGUUCCUUGAUACCUACUGUCACACAUAUGCUCCCGCAUGCACGUGCUUGUACACACACACACACACACACACACGCACACACAGGUGCCCCUGUUCUGUGGUAGCACCAGUGGUAUUACAAUGGUCUUUUCCUCAAAGCUGCUUAGGGCAGGUACCAGGUUUUAGGCAUAUUGUGUCUGAGUGUUGAUAGAUUUUCAAGGAAGGAAGGAGGGAAGAAAAACCCUUGAGGGAUAGACUCUUGAGUCAUUUGGCUUUUUAAUUUAAUUUUUGGCUGCAAAUUUUUAACAAUCUGGCUUAAUCUACAGUUGAGUGGAUUUAAGGGAGCAGGAGGACAGGUGAUUGGCUCCUACAGAACAUUUUCUGAUUAAAAAAUCACAGGAAAAAAAAAAGCUUUUAAAAAGUAAUAAUGAUGAUGGCAGCAAGCUGGACCCACACCUGUGUUCACCACCGUGUUCCCAGCCGGUGCCCACACUGCCCAGAGCUCACGGGAGGUGUCAGAGGGACGCAGGCACCCUGGAUGAGCACCUGCUGUAUACAGCAGACACGGUGGUCUUAGCGAAUGCCCCUAACAGCCCUGGGAGGUGGAGAGGCUGAGGUUCAGACUGAGGCAGAGCUGGUCUCCAACGACCGAGCCCUUCCCACCUCAGCAGGCUGGAAGGGACGGGCAGCUGGAGGAGCCUGAAGGCCCCUGGGAGACGGGAUUAGGGGGAGAAGGGCUAAAUGCAUUUCUGGGACACACAGUCAGGCCUCUGUCACACCCCAGAGGAUCUCCCCCAGUGUGGCCACUAGUGUGUCAGGACCUGGGCCUUCCAUGAAUGAGCUGUGGGCUCCUGGGAUGCCGGAGCUGCGUCCCACUCAUCCCCUCUUUGACCUGAGGGGGACCCUGAGGUCUGGAGGGGGUGGGGUGGGGAGUGUGGCCUGACAGCCUGUGUGCCGAGUCUGUGCUCAUCUGGGUCUAGAUGACAUUUGUUCUGCCGGCCAGGGCCCCCUGGACACUAGGCUGCCCCUUCGUUGACAUUUCGUUUCCGUUCAAGGGGAUUACGCAAAUCCAUGGUGGUUAAGCCGCCACGGGGCACUAUGGAAACAGAGCACUUCGCUCUGUCUGCCCCCUCCUUCCAGCCCAGCAAUAAUGACACAGAGGCUGGCUUCUCUGGCAAGACUUGUUAUGCUAAAUCGCAGAGCGUGUGCACAAUUUAAUUUGAACCCAGGCAGGCAGAGGGGAGAAGCCAGAUUAAUUACCACAACACAUUUCUGAGCCAAGUCAGAUGUCUUCCCUCAAAUACCGGACCACCUGCAGGAUGGGGGUGGGGUGCGUUACAGGGUCCGAGUGGGUCAAAAUAUCCAUUAAUGAUGUUGUGUGCAUACUUUAGCAGAUAAUUUAUAUAUAAUGUCUAACUUCUCAGCUUUUAUACAUUUUUUUUUUUUUUUACAAACCAGUCUUUUAUUUCUAUUUUAUUGUAGUUGGUUCAUUAAUUAAUCUGAACAAGCACCAGUGUUUACAAGGCACCCUAUCCUAAGGAUGAAAAAGAUAAAAAGUGAAGACUCCUCUCCGCCUGUUUCCCAGUUACCGUUUCUCUCCCUACAGAGACACUGCCAUUUUGGGGGAUGUUCUGCCAGCGUCCAGGUGCUCUAGCGUGAAGCAGGCUUAUUUCGGCGGUGACGGUACAUGUCAGCGUCAGGUGAUGACCUUGGCUGGAAAAAGGGAAAACACUGGGUCUCUGCGGAAAGGAGAGAAGUCGUAUUUGCCUUUCUGCCUGCGUGGGAGCAGAGAGGCUUCCGUGACGGAGCCAGUCCUGUGCCACCGGCUCGGAGCCGGUUGGAGCAAAACUGCAGGUGCCUCAUAGAGAGCCCGGGGCCCUGCUGCCCGGAAACGAGGAAGUCGUCACACAAGCUGAUGCCGACACUCUGCUGGUGCAGAGUGGGGACCCCCCGCCCAGCUCUGCCUGUUCUCUGCCCCCGGGAAGGUGCGAGCACACGGCCCACCUGUGUUCUCAGGACCGUGGGGCCCAAUGCUUGGAAGGGUUUGCAGCCGCAGGGGACGGGGCGGCCAGCAGUUCAGGUCAAUGGUUAACUGCCUUACUAAGUCAGACUUGGGUGCAGGCGCUUUAGUCUUCUCGGGGGUGGGGGGAGGGAGGGGUGGGGAGCAGGUCUUUGAGAGGUCAAGACCAUACUACAGUUUAAGAGAGCACCGGAGCCUGGCCUGGCCUCACAGAGCCUGCACACCACGGCGUGCACGGAGCGCUCACACCAACGCGACGUGCACCCUCCAGCAUACCCUGACCGUGGGCUCUGGAGGCAGUGCCAGGCAUCUGUUUCUGGACCCAAAGCCAUUGAUCCUUUAGGGCCCCGGUGUCCUGUCUGUGCUUGCAGGCUCUCCUGGGCGUGAUCUUCCUGUUCAAAGCCCCGCUGUGAUUAAGAGAACGUUUUCUAAAACUAGUGUACAGAGGACUGCUCUUCAGGAAGGAUGGGGACCACCACUGUGGCCUGUGAGGCUGAGCCUCCGGGACCGAGGCUGCGUUCCCCGCGGCCAGGUUCUGGGAACCGUGCUUCCCCCUGCCCCUGGCAGCUGCGGGUGGGAGGGCUUCCGGCUCUUGCCAGAAUGGGAACGCGGCCGUGUUCGUUCCCUCAACCCCGCCCACACCUCUGUAGAGAACCUUCGUUAAACUUCUCUCUUAAACCUUUGGAACCAUUUGUUUCUUGCUUGGGCCCUGCCUGAUAAACCGUCCGACGGUCCUCUGCCCACCUGAAUAAAGGCUAAACCCCAACAAAUCACAGAGCCGUUCUCAAGGGCUGUGUGAGCGCUCGUUUUUUUCAUGAA
RNA transcript from Neofelis nebulosa (Clouded leopard), 6840 nucleotides. It is a transcript of the gene named DET1 partner of COP1 E3 ubiquitin ligase, with no coding region annotated. NCBI's taxonomy places the organism in Eukaryota, Metazoa, Chordata, Mammalia, Carnivora, Felidae. The transcript has 8 exons. The record is from RefSeq and is a predicted model, not a curated record.